UAGUUUUGGAAAGAUCUAUUGGUUAGGUGAGAACUUCUUCCAGUUGCUGGCUUGUCCUCCUCCUCCUCCUUACACAUCCCCUAGAACCUAUGAGGCAUCUGGAGGUGGUGCUCUAUGCUGUGUCUAUGCUCGCUGUUACAUUAAUUUAAAUAAAUUGUGCAAAUAAAAAAAAAAUAGAAAAAGAAAAAAAACAAACCCCUAAACCCUUCAUUCUGUGCAAAAAUAAAUCAAAAGAUUGGAGUUUCCAAUCCAGUUUUUUGUCCAAUGAGGUAAAAGCUGUUGUGUAAUGGCCUGUCCCUUUCUUCUCUCUGAAGGUCCCAACCCCAUGUGUCCCACUUGUCUGGAUUAAAAUUUGAAGUCUGGCAGUCUGGUUCUUUUCAUAGCUCCAGAGGAUUUUUGGGAGCAUGGGAUGCAUGGACCUGUUGACCCACAAAACUCUGGAGAAUGUUGGCUGUGGAUAAAAACAUCUGGAAGUUUCUACCAUCUUUUUACCCUGUUUUUCCUGGAUCAACCUGUGUCGUUUGUGGUCUUGCCCUGAGGAUUAUAGCAUACAGUCACUUACUGGAAUACCUUUCCAUGCAUCUUCUUGAAAUGGAGCCACUGCUUUACCCAGCUGGAAGAUAUUUUCUCUUCUCCCAGAGCUUUUCCAGUGCAGCAACACUCCUGUCCAUCAGGUCUCAGUUGACUGCAAAAAGGAGAAGAGUGUGUCAAAGGGAGGUCAGAUCCUGCCAGGGUUUCCUGGGAAAUGAGAUUUAUGUGGAAAGUAUGACUGACAGGAGCAGCUUACUCAUCAUUAGAUAA
Molecule: long non-coding RNA, 801 nt
Organism: Lonchura striata (white-rumped munia)
Lineage: Eukaryota; Metazoa; Chordata; Aves; Passeriformes; Estrildidae
Source: Ensembl